Molecule: ribosomal RNA, 496 nt
Filed under: uncultured Sphingobacteriales bacterium
Lineage: Bacteria; Pseudomonadati; Bacteroidota; Sphingobacteriia; Sphingobacteriales
Description: bacterial SSU rRNA
Rfam family: Bacterial small subunit ribosomal RNA
Source: RNAcentral
AGCCCGCUCAGAAACUCAAAGGAAUUGACGGGGGCCCGCACAAGCGGUGGAGCAUGUGGUUUAAUUCGAUGAUACGCGAGGAACCUUACCUGGGCUCGAACGUAAGAUGACUGUAGGUGAAAGCUUACAUCUCUUCGGAGCAUUUUACGAGGUGCUGCAUGGUUGUCGUCAGCUCGUGCCGUGAGGUGUCGGGUUAAGUCCCAUAACGAGCGCAACCCCUACCUUUAGUUGCCAUCAGGUAAUGCUGGGGACUCUAAAGGAACUGCCUACGCAAGUAGUGAGGAAGGCGGGGAUGACGUCAAGUCAUCAUGGCCCUUACGGCCUGGGCUACACACGUGCUACAAUGGUCGGUACAAAGGGUUGCCAAGCCGCGAGGUGGAGCUAAUCCCAUAAAACCGAUCGUAGUCCGGAUCGCAGUCUGCAACUCGACUGCGUGAAGUCGGAAUCGCUAGUAAUCGUGAAUCAGAAUGUCACGGUGAAUACGUUCCCGGGCCUU